Long non-coding RNA from Lacerta agilis (Sand lizard), 496 nucleotides. RefSeq lists it as uncharacterized. The transcript has 3 exons. The record is from RefSeq and is a predicted model, not a curated record. NCBI's taxonomy places the organism in Eukaryota, Metazoa, Chordata, Lepidosauria, Squamata, Lacertidae.
UCCCAGCUACAAUUCUCCUGGCUUGUGUACUCAUGCGUCUUUCAGCAAGUCCCAGGAAAUUGCAAAGUGGAAGAAGAAGGUUUGUUUUCCUGGGUCCUAAUAUAACAUCAUCCCCAACCCCUGGUAUGGCUUGGCUAUAAAUGCUUCCAGGUGUCACAACUGAGUAGACAAUGACUGAACUGAAAAGAACAACACUUGCUGCAAGCAGUCCGAAAUGGAGGGUACGCUACUCAUGACCACAAAGUUUUUCUCUCAAGUUCCAACACUGACACUAUCAUAUAUACAUUGCUGAGGAUGAAUAGUUUUCAUGGGUCAAACUGAAAAAGGCACAAGGAAAAAAGAAGCAUAACAGCAUUGCUUUCCUCCAUCAACCCUUCAGCUUGCCUGAUAACCCCAAAUAUAUAUGCAAAUAGUCUGUUUAUCUGAACUCCAAAGUAAACAAAUAUGUUGAACAUAUUUAUGGUCAUUCAGAAAAUAAAGUUUCAUUGUAUUCAAG